RNAcentral lists this ribosomal RNA (499 nucleotides) under Anampses neoguinaicus (New Guinea wrasse). Its description in RNAcentral is "partial 16S ribosomal RNA". It matches the Rfam family "Bacterial large subunit ribosomal RNA", at positions 1908 to 2564 of the family's 2925-position model. Lineage: Eukaryota; Metazoa; Chordata; Actinopteri; Labriformes; Labridae. The record is from RNAcentral.
GUGACUUUAAUGUUUAACGGCCGCGGUAUUUUGACCGUGCAAAGGUAGCGCAAUCACUUGUCUUUUAAAUGGAGACCUGUAUGAAUGGCAUCACGAGGGCUUAACUGUCUCCUCUCUUUAACCAAUGAAAUUGAUCUCUCCGUGCAGAAGCGGGGAUAAAAGCAUAAGACGAGAAGACCCUAUGGAGCUUUAGACACCAAGACAGCUUAUGUCAAGCAUUCCUGCAUAAGRGACCGAACUAGAUAAACCCUGUCCUAAUGUCUUUGGUUGGGGCGACCUUGGGGAAAUAAACAACCCCCACGUGGAAUGGAAACAUGUUUCCAAAACCAAGAGCCACCGCUCUAAGAAGCAGAACUUCUGACCAAUCAGAUCCGGCAAAGCCGAUCAACGGACCGAGUUACCCUAGGGAUAACAGCGCAAUCCCCUUUUAGAGUCCCUAUCGACAAGGGGGUUUACGACCUCGAUGUUGGAUCAGGACAUCCUAAUGGUGCAGCCGCUA